RNAcentral lists this ribosomal RNA (237 nucleotides) under uncultured Candidatus Saccharibacteria bacterium. RNAcentral's name for it is "partial 16S ribosomal RNA". It matches the Rfam family "Bacterial small subunit ribosomal RNA", at positions 584 to 818 of the family's 1533-position model. Lineage: Bacteria; Candidatus Saccharimonadota. The record is from RNAcentral.
UAUGUCGGGUAGUGAAAGCGUUCGGCUCAACCGGAAUAAACAUUACUGAAACUGCUAAGCUAGAAGGUGAGAGAGGUCACUGGAAUUCCCUGUGUAGGAGUGAAAUCCGUAGAUAUAGGGAGGAACACCGAUGGCGUAGGCAGGUGACUGGCUCAUUCUUGACACUAAGGCACGAAAGCGUGGGGAGCAAACGGGAUUAGAUACCCCGGUAGUCCACGCCGUAAACUAUGGAUGCUA